GCUUACGGCCACACCAGCUUGAGAAUGCCCAAUCUCAUCUGACCUUGAAAGCUAAGCAAGUUUGGGAUUGGAUAGUACUGAGGUGGGACCCCACCUAGGAAUACUAGGUGCUGUAAGCU
This is a ribosomal RNA of Electrophorus electricus (electric eel), 119 nucleotides long. Lineage: Eukaryota; Metazoa; Chordata; Actinopteri; Gymnotiformes; Gymnotidae. The record is from Ensembl.